This 901-nucleotide long non-coding RNA is filed under the name Heterocephalus glaber (naked mole-rat). RNAcentral's name for it is "lncRNA (ENSHGLG00100049878.1)". The record is from RNAcentral. Lineage: Eukaryota; Metazoa; Chordata; Mammalia; Rodentia; Bathyergidae.
CCACACAGCGCCCUGCAAACCUGCUGAGUGCUUUCACAUGGUCCCAUGUGAGACCCACGGCCGAUGCCAAACACUCCUGUCCGAAACUGUUUUCAGAGUCAGCUUCAUCUCUAAGCCCCUCCUCGCCCCAGGGUCAAGAGCAUCAAUCAAGAGGGUGGUGGUGGUGGGGUGACAGGAAAGAAUAAAAAGCUCAGCAGCUCAACACAGAGAAGCACCUCCCCUCCCACGGUGAAGGUGUAAAGCAGAAGGCUGGCCAAGGACCAAGCUUCAAGAAAAUGUGAAACUCUGCACGAGGAUGCUAGCACGUACGAUUCCUGGCUUCUUGGGAAAUCUCACGCACAAAACUGCCUUUCUCCUCUGCACUGACCGAAUCCACAGUGAGACACCGUGAGGGACAAACUCAGGGAUCGAACUUGGGUCCUUGCACUUGCGCAGCAGGCGGCGAAACCACUAAGCUAAAUCCCCGGCCCAGAUGAAUUCUUAAGAAGUGCUUCAAAAUGUACAUGUCAAGUGGGUUUUUCUUUGCUUUUUUCUUGUUUGGUACUAGGGGAUUGAAUCCAGGGCCUUCCUAUUGAGCUACAUCUCCACCCUUCAAAAUAAUUUUUAAGUUUUGAGACAGCAUCUCACUAAAUUGUUAAAUUGCCUAGGCUGAUCUUGAACUUGUAAUCCUCCUGCCUCAGCCUCCUAGAGUGCUGCAAUCACAGGCAUGUGCCACCUUGCCCAGCUAACUAACUCUUUCUUAACAGACUCCUUAACUUACUUUCUAAAUCUGACUUACAACUAACAGGCAGAUCAUCCUAUAUAUAAUUAUUUCAUUUUACAGGUGAAAUUUGGAGGAAGGAUGGGAGAAAAAAGGAAAGAUUUCCAUUUCCUUUUAUUUAAAUUUGCAAUUCAUUUCUAU